GCCCCCAUCGUCUAGUGGCCUAGGACGCCGCCCUCUCAAGGCGGUAGCACGGGUUCAAAUCCCGUUGGGGGUAC
RNAcentral lists this transfer RNA (74 nucleotides) under Kineosporia mesophila. RNAcentral describes it as "tRNA-Glu". It matches the Rfam family "tRNA". From Rfam's summary of the family: Transfer RNA (tRNA) molecules are approximately 80 nucleotides in length. Their secondary structure includes four short double-helical elements and three loops (D, anti-codon, and T loops). The record is from RNAcentral. Lineage: Bacteria; Bacillati; Actinomycetota; Actinomycetes; Kineosporiales; Kineosporiaceae. RNAcentral also lists the same sequence under 1 other name.